GUGCACGGAGUGCGUAAUCCGGAGCGGACGACAUUGCGACAUAUAAAUGACAAGGACACUCCCAUAUUUAGCACGUCUUAACAUAUGGGUGAACAAUGGCAACUGUGGCCAGGGUGGUGCAAAGGUGGUGCAAAGGUGGUGGUUUCCAAUGGAU
This 154-nucleotide small RNA is filed under the name Drosophila erecta. RNAcentral's name for it is "GG27016". Lineage: Eukaryota; Metazoa; Arthropoda; Insecta; Diptera; Drosophilidae. The record is from RNAcentral.